This is a long non-coding RNA of Parambassis ranga (Indian glassy fish), 628 nucleotides long. The record is from Ensembl. NCBI's taxonomy places the organism in Eukaryota, Metazoa, Chordata, Actinopteri, Ambassidae.
AGGGCCGUGAUGGUUUGCCAGGAAGGGAUGGGUCCAGAGGCCCUGAAGGACGCCCGGGUCCACCAGGCCCACAUUCCCCAUUUGACCCUUCAGUGGUUGUGAAAGGGGAAAAGGGUGAAAGAGGUUUCCCUGGUAUUGAUGGAAGUCCAGGGUUGCCAGGUAGACCAGGUGCCCCUGGAAAUGCAGGUGUCCCAGGUUCACAGGGUCUGCCUGGUGCCAGAGGAAACCCGGGUGAACCAGGAGGAGCAGGCUCACCAGGGCCAAAAGGAGAUAAAGGUGAAAGGGGUGAACCAGGUUCAGCUGUACCUGAAGGGGGUCUUCCAGGGAGGAAAGGAGAACCAGGGAUCCCAGGAAUACCGGGUACUCCAGGUAGACCAGGCAGUGAUGGAGCCAAAGGAGCUCUUGGAGCUGCAGGGACACCAGGUCAGGAUGGGCGUCCAGGGAUACCAGGAACACCAGGACUUCCCAUCAAGGGAGAUAAGGGCAGCCCAGGAGAGAGGGGACCUCCAGGAGUAGGCAGCGGGGUGGCCAUAAAGGGCGAGAAGGGCUCCCCAGGAGUUCCAGGAUCUCCCGGGGCUCUGGGUCCUAGAGGGCCAGCAGGAACACAGGGCAGCAAAGGAGACAAGGU